CCUACGGGAGGCUGCAGUGGGGAAUAUUGGGCAAUGGGCGCAAGCCUGACCCAGCAACGCCGCGUGAAGGAAGAAGGCUUUCGGGUUGUAACCUUCUUUUCUCAGGGACGAAGCAAGUGACGGUACCUGAGGAAUAAGCCACGGCUAACUACGUGCCAGCAGCCGCGGUAAUACGGAGGUGGCAAGCGUUAUCCGGAUUGACUGGGUGUAAAGGGCGUGUAGGCGGGAAAGCAAGUCAGAUGUGAAAACCAUGGGCUCAACCUGUGGCCUGCAUUUGAAACUGUUUUUCUUGAGUACUGGAGAGGCAGACGGAAUUCGUAGUGUAGCGGUGAAAUGCGUAGAUAUUAGGAGGAACACCAGUGGCGAAGGCGGUCUGCUGGACAGCAACUGACGCGGAGGCGCGAAAGCGUGGGGAGCAAACAGGAUUAGAUACCCCUGUAGUC
Molecule: ribosomal RNA, 443 nt
Filed under: uncultured bacterium
Lineage: Bacteria
Description: partial 16S ribosomal RNA
Rfam family: Bacterial small subunit ribosomal RNA
Source: RNAcentral